AUGAAGAAGAGCCAUGUGUUCUACCUUCCGGCCUAACCUACAUCAGUCAAUAAGCAUUUCAUUAUAUGACUACCAAGUAUUGGAAAUUUCGAAAAUUUUGUUUUAACUUUGAUAGAAAGCGAUAGACUGGCCCGCACGGGAAAACCACAAAAAUUAUUCGUUAAUAAUUACUUUUCCAUCAUUUUCUCGAGCGAGUACAAGAAACUCACAAUUCAUGGAAACACGUGAAACACUUCACUUGCCUUUCGUGCCAUCGGUCAGGUUGAUGAAUGAACGGCAAAGCCUUUACGAUUCUCAAUACGAGGUAGUUUGUCGGAACUUUCUCGGAUUAUGGCGGCUAAAGAAAGAAAGAAAUCUAAGCUACAAAUGUACAAAUCUAAUCCGUAUUGCUCACAGAAAGUGACGUUCAAACUUUCCUAGAAGAGGAAGAAAACCAAUGUAUGAAAAGAAAAACCAAAAGUUCGGUAUUCAGUGGCCUUUGGUAAUAGUGUUUCUAGCGGCUGAGAACGAAAAGCGACAACUGAAAGAUUAGCCAUUGACCGAUUUUGGCUGUUUAGACUUCUGUAAAGGCUUCUGUAAAGGCUUCUUUAAAGACUUCUGUCGGUAAGGACAAAGUCAAUGAAUGAGAAUUUUGUAAAUUGAAAAUUACACCCAUUGUUGCUUUUGAGCCUUGUCGAUUCUUUUAUUUUCAUUCAUUGAUGAACUUUGCUUUUCUUGUCACCAAAGAGCAAUUGUGUUUAUAUGAUAAACAAAAUAAUACAUAGUUGCUUGUAGAUAUGGACUUUCUCUUGAAGUCUUCGACUCGACAUCUCACUCGCUCGCUGCGCUCACUCGUGCAUUAGCUAUCGAGUUGAAUACUCGAAGAGAAAGUCCACAUCUAUGCGCGCCCAUGUAUUCUCUAUUUAUCUUUAUUCUUUUAGAAAAUGAAAGGCACAGAAAGUCAAUAUGGCGUAAUGAUGUGUCUCUUUUCUUAGUAAAGAAGUUUUCAGUCGGCGUGGACAACUACUGUUAUAUUUUCUAUUGGGGUUUCUAUACAUUUGGGGCUUGGCCCUUCAGUGCAAAGUUAAGUUCUUUACAUAUGCUGCAAAGUUUUUAUGUACUGCGCACUAAACAUAUGGAAAGCUUUGAAUUAUGACCCUUUUUGUUUAUGUAAACGGAGCACCUUUCUACUAGUACGCACCUAAGUGCUACGUAUCUCAUGGAAAUUUUUUCCAUUUUCAUUUUAUAUCUCUUUUUUCUUUUUUUUAGGUGAUAAGCAGUCUUCAAGAACUUUUGUCACAAGCCCAAGGCUUCAGAUGUUCUACUUAUGCAUCUUGCCUUCUAGAGAAUGAAGAGGUAUCAGAUGAAAUCGCAGUUAUUACUUUGAAUGAUAAGCCACUCAGUAAGCGAUUGGAAUACUAUUUUUCUGACUAUUCGCUGACGACUAAGAAGCCGCAGGUUACUUCAUUUCCACCAGAUUUUAAUCCGAUACCUUGCAAGCCCCUGUUCUUUGACCUGGCUCUCAAUCAAGUCAAGUUCCCGUCAUUAGCUCACAGAGUAGAGGAAAAGAAAAGUGGCGGACUAGCUGGAUAUUUCAAGGGUUGGCUGUGGGGCUCUGGACCUUAAAUAACUGUUUGAGAUGAACUAAAUGUUCGGUCAAUUUUGAGCACAACUGUAGUUUAGUCUAUUUUCAGUAGCUUGGGUUAAAACUAAGGCACUUUGUGUUGAGAAUAUUUCACAGAGUGUGUAUGAAUAGUUCGAACCAACUUUUGCACCCUGAAUGCUGCAAAGAUUUACGAUGUAAAUCACCAAAUGGAGCACCACGAAAUGUAAUCUGCCGGAGAUUUAUUAACCUUGGACG
This 1840-nucleotide long non-coding RNA is filed under the name Pocillopora damicornis (cauliflower coral). Its description in RNAcentral is "uncharacterized LOC113680310". The record is from RNAcentral. Lineage: Eukaryota; Metazoa; Cnidaria; Anthozoa; Scleractinia; Pocilloporidae.